GUCUUUUGUUUGUGUGUGUCUGGUAAUAUCAAAUAACUUGGUUAGAAAAUUGUUUAGAAUGAUAGCAAAUUACAGAGUUAUCUCCCCUUUUUUGUUAAUUUCUAGUGCAUUUCAACCAAAUUGUAUCUUCUAUUACCAGAACAGAAAAUGGAAAUGAAUGUUAUUUUUGUGCAUAACUACAUAUUAUGAACUGAAAUCAAUGUCAAAUAGGGUGGGGUUUUUUUAUCAUGUUUUCACCACUGCCUGAUUCUUAGGCAGACUGGCACUU
Molecule: long non-coding RNA, 268 nt
Filed under: Mytilus galloprovincialis (Mediterranean mussel)
Lineage: Eukaryota; Metazoa; Mollusca; Bivalvia; Mytilida; Mytilidae
Source: RNAcentral